UCGCCACUAAUUUGUCCGCGUUGCCAGA
This 28-nucleotide small RNA is filed under the name Bombyx mori (domestic silkworm). RNAcentral describes it as "ovarian small RNA-28664". Lineage: Eukaryota; Metazoa; Arthropoda; Insecta; Lepidoptera; Bombycidae. The record is from RNAcentral.